AAAAUAAAAACCAGCACAAAAUGACCAUUAAAAUGACACACCGCCAUCUUCAGCAGAAAUAAAUAAAGUUUAUUAUGUUCGUCCAAAGCGUCAGAUGCAGAAGAGCUUUUUAUAAACAGCCCUAAACGCCGGAGCGAAGGUCAAGACUGAGAUGGAAUGGUGGAAUGGAAUGGUGAAACAUUUACUGUAAACGCCACAGAUGCUAACGCCAUU
Non-coding RNA from Pelobates cultripes (western spadefoot toad), 213 nucleotides. Lineage: Eukaryota; Metazoa; Chordata; Amphibia; Anura; Pelobatidae. The record is from the annotation of a GenBank genome assembly.